CUCUUGGAAGACCUCUUGAACCCCUGAAGUGCCUGGCAUCCGCUAUCCAGGAGCCCUGCUCCUCUCUCAGUGGCCUCACACCUCUCUCUUUCUCUUCUCCGGUUCCGUGCGACAUCCUCAGCAAAUACCGAAUCACCACCCUUUCCCUCUGUGGCUCACAAGCCUUUCUAAAGGCUAAAACUUGUAUUAGAUUAGGAUUCUCAAUCCUAAUCGAAUCCAAACACAGCUAAAAUAACCCAGAUCAAGGCCCCAAAUCGUCGGAUC
Molecule: long non-coding RNA, 264 nt
Filed under: Elaeis guineensis (African oil palm)
Lineage: Eukaryota; Viridiplantae; Streptophyta; Magnoliopsida; Arecales; Arecaceae
Description: long non-coding RNA (EGUI_LNC006996)
Source: RNAcentral